UAGGCGACCGGGUGAGUAACACGUGACUAACCUACCCUCGAGUGGGGAAUAACUCCGGGAAACCGGGGCUAAUACCGCAUAACAUCUUCGGAACGCGAGUUCUGUUGAUCAAAGGAGCAAUUCGCUUGAGGAGGGAGUCGCGGCUGAUUAGCUAGUUGGCGGGGUAAUGGCCCACCAAGGCUUAGAUCGGUAGCCGGCCUGAGAGGGCGCACGGCCACACUGGAACUGAAACACGGUCCAG
Molecule: ribosomal RNA, 241 nt
Filed under: uncultured bacterium
Lineage: Bacteria
Description: partial 16S ribosomal RNA
Rfam family: Bacterial small subunit ribosomal RNA
Source: RNAcentral